Molecule: long non-coding RNA, 1028 nt
Organism: Nicotiana tabacum (common tobacco)
Lineage: Eukaryota; Viridiplantae; Streptophyta; Magnoliopsida; Solanales; Solanaceae
Source: RefSeq, a predicted model, not a curated record
CCUUCCCUCAAAAGGAAAACCCUAUCCCCCCAUCUCUCACCUCACUCUCACAUAUAUUCAUUCUCCUCUACUCACACAUACAAAUUCCCCCAGACUCUUCUCACACAGGAUUUUAACAUCACUUUCACUCUCACACACGUAGAACUCACAGUCCAAAUAGCUAAAACAAAAGUUUUUGAAUUGAAAUUGAAGCUCAGAUCUGAAAUAGGAAAAAUAUCAAAAAACAAAGAGAGAAAACAAAAACAAAACAGCGUAAAAGAGGGAUUUCUGUCGCUGUGGAAUUGCAGUUUAUUUGCUCUCAUAUUCUUGGUUCUAACAGGUUAAAAUCCUCGCGAUUUACUGCUGAUUACUGGCCGUGAUUGUUGGCUGAGCUUCGCCCCAUUCCCUUCCUCCACAGUUUUGUUGAAGUCAGUUAUUUUUUCUUUGUCCAUCAAGGGUUUGGUCAACAAGGUGACAAUUCGUCAAAACCAGCUCAAAAAGGAGUGAAACAUGCACAAGUACCAAGAACAAAUCCAAGCACAGUAUAACCUGAUGCGGUCGCACUCCAUUCUGUGCGGUCCGCAAAGAGGAGGUUCAGAGAUUUCUCAAUUCAGACAUUCAAGCAAUGCGGCCGCAAAGCAUUUCAUGCAGACCGCAUUGGCUUCAUUGCGGCCGCACUCGAUUUUGUGCGGUUCACAAAGCUAGAGUUCAGAGAGUUGCUAAUUUUGAGAAUAUUUCCAAUGCGGUCCGCGGUCCUUUUUGUGCGGACCGCAAUAGAAGCCACCGCGGCCGUGGUGUAUUUUGUGCGGCCCGCGGUGGCCAAGUUCUGAGAAUAAAAGUUUCAAGCUAAGAGCCUUAGUGCGACCGCACUCGAUUUUUUGCGGUUCGCACUAGCCCCGCAGGAGUAUUUUUGUCCAGAAAAUUUGGCAUAGUAUAAAUAGUUUCUUUUCCCAUUUUUAGGUAAUCAGUUGGAUUGUAGACAGCAGCUGCGCUCGUGAACAAUGUUCUAUUACUAUUUUGAGUAAUUUUACAAUAGUUUUAUCAUUGAA